CUUAAAAUGAAUUGACGGGGACCCGCACAAGCGUGGAUGAUGUGGAUUAAUUCGAUGCAACGCGAAAAACCUUACCUACCCUUGACAUGUCCGGAAUCCCGAAGAGAUUUGGGAGUGCUCGCAAGAGAACCGGAACACAGGUGCUGCAUGGCUGUCGUCAGCUCGUGUCGUGAGAUGUUGGGUUAAGUCCCGCAACGAGCGCAACCCUUGUCAUUAGUUGCCAUCAUUUGGUUGGGCACUCUAAUGAGACUGCCGGUGACAAACCGGAGGAAGGUGGGGAUGACGUCAAGUCCUCAUGGCCCUUAUGGGUAGGGCUUCACACGUCAUACAAUGGCCGGUACAGAGGGUAGCCAACCCGCGAGGGGGAGCCAAUCCCACAAAGCCGGUCGUAGUCCGGAUCGCAGUCUGCAACUCGACUGCGUGAAGUCGGAAUCGCUAGUAAUCGUGGAUCAGAAUGUCACGGUGAAUACGUUCCCGGGUCUU
This 483-nucleotide ribosomal RNA is filed under the name uncultured Rhodocyclaceae bacterium. RNAcentral's name for it is "bacterial SSU rRNA". It matches the Rfam family "Bacterial small subunit ribosomal RNA", at positions 903 to 1382 of the family's 1533-position model. The record is from RNAcentral. Lineage: Bacteria; Pseudomonadati; Pseudomonadota; Betaproteobacteria; Rhodocyclales; Rhodocyclaceae.